This 403-nucleotide ribosomal RNA is filed under the name uncultured Wolinella sp. Its description in RNAcentral is "bacterial SSU rRNA". It matches the Rfam family "Bacterial small subunit ribosomal RNA", at positions 379 to 774 of the family's 1533-position model. Lineage: Bacteria; Pseudomonadati; Campylobacterota; Epsilonproteobacteria; Campylobacterales; Helicobacteraceae. The record is from RNAcentral.
AAGCCUGAUCCAGCCAUGCCGCGUGUGUGAAGAAGGUCUUCGGAUUGUAAAGCACUUUAAGUUGGGAGGAAGGGCUGCAAGUUAAUACCUUGUAGUUUUGACGUUACCAACAGAAUAAGCACCGGCUAACUCCGUGCCAGCAGCCGCGGUAAUACGGAGGGUGCAAGCGUUACUCGGAAUCACUGGGCGUAAAGAGCACGUAGGCGGCCUUGCAAGUCAGAUGUGAAAUCCAACGGCUUAACCGUUGAACUGCAUUUGAAACUGCAAGGCUAGAGUAUGGGAGAGGUAGGUGGAAUUCUCGGUGUAGGGGUAAAAUCCGUAGAGAUCGAGAGGAAUACUCAUUGCGAAGGCGACCUGCUGGAACAUUACUGACGCUGAGGUGCGAAAGCGUGGGGAGCAAACA